CGUCUAUAUACGUAUAGCAUAUCAAUAAGCGGAGGAAAAGAAACUAACUAGGAUUCCCUCAGUAACGGCGAGUGAAGCGGGAAAAGCUCAAAUUUGAAAUCUUCAAGGUUCUACCUUGACGAAUUGUAGUUUAAAGAAGUGUUUUCUGUUGGAGUUUUGGUAAAAGUUCUUUGGAAUAGGACAUCAUAGAGGGUGAGAAUCCCGUAUUUGACCAUUAUUUCCAACUUUGUGAUACACUUUCAAAGAGUCGGAUUGUUUGGGAAUGCAGUCCAAAAUGGGUGGUAAAUUUCAUCUAAAGCUAAAUACUGGCGAGAGACCGAUAGCGAACAAGUACCGUGAGGGAAAGAUGAAAAGAACUUUGAAAAGAGAGUUAAACAGUACGUGAAAUUGUCAAAAGGGAAGCGUUUGACACCAGUGUUGUUUUCUCGAAAAUCAAUUAAAAAUGACCGGAUUUUGUGUUGUAUUGACUUUAUCAGCUUUCUGCACUUUUUUCCUUAUCUUUUUUAAUGCACUUUUCGUUUAACAAGUCAACAUCAAUUUCUUUUGUUGUAAAAGAGUCAUUGGAAGGUGGCUUUCUUUUCGGAGAAAGUGUUUAUAGCCUUUGACUUCUGCAGUCGGAGAGAUUGAGGUCUGCAGCGUAGAUCCUUCGGGGUUAGAUACAUUUGUGCUAAGUUAUAGCCUUUCAUAGACAACUUGUUGACUAUGAUCAGUCAUGUAGCUUACUCGCUUAUGUCUAUUUUACCUACGCUUAGGAUGUUGACGAUCAGCUGAGCGCG
This 776-nucleotide ribosomal RNA is filed under the name uncultured Neocallimastigales. RNAcentral describes it as "partial large subunit ribosomal RNA". It matches the Rfam family "Eukaryotic large subunit ribosomal RNA", at positions 26 to 628 of the family's 3401-position model. The record is from RNAcentral. Lineage: Eukaryota; Fungi; Neocallimastigomycota; Neocallimastigomycetes; Neocallimastigales.